This 73-nucleotide transfer RNA is filed under the name Elusimicrobiota bacterium. RNAcentral's name for it is "Elusimicrobia bacterium (anaerobic digester metagenome) tRNA-Pro". It matches the Rfam family "tRNA". From Rfam's summary of the family: Transfer RNA (tRNA) molecules are approximately 80 nucleotides in length. Their secondary structure includes four short double-helical elements and three loops (D, anti-codon, and T loops). Further hydrogen bonds mediate the characteristic L-shaped molecular structure. tRNAs have two regions of fundamental functional importance: the anti-codon, which is responsible for specific mRNA codon recognition, and the 3' end, to which the tRNAs corresponding amino acid is attached (by aminoacyl-tRNA synthetases). tRNAs cope with the degeneracy of the genetic code in two manners: having more than one tRNA (with a specific anti-codon) for a particular amino acid; and 'wobble' base-pairing, i.e. permitting non-standard base-pairing at the 3rd anti-codon position. The record is from RNAcentral. Lineage: Bacteria; Pseudomonadati; Elusimicrobiota.
CGGGGCGUAGCGCAGAUGGUAGCGCGCCUGGUUCGGGACCAGGAGGUCCAGGGUUCGAAUCCCUGCGCCCCGA